UAGGGAAUCUUCCACAAUGGACGCAAGUCUGAUGGAGCAACGCCGCGUGAGUGAAGAAGGGUUUCGGCUCGUAAAGCUCUGUUGUUGGUGAAGAAGGACAGGGGUAGUAACUGACCUUUGUUUGACGGUAAUCAAUUAGAAAGUCACGGCUAACUACGUGCCAGCAGCCGCGGUAAUACGUAGGUGGCAAGCGUUGUCCGGAUUUAUUGGGCGUAAAGCGAGUGCAGGCGGUUCGAUAAGUCUGAUGUGAAAGCCCUCGGCUUAACCGAGGAACUGCAUCGGAAACUGUUUUUCUUGAGUGCAGAAGAGGAGAGUGGAACUCCAUGUGUAGCGGUGGAAUGCGUAGAUAUAUGGAAGAACACCGGUGGCGAAGGCGGCUCUCUGGUCUGUUACUGACGCUGAGGCUCGAAAGCAUGGGUAGCGAACAGG
Molecule: ribosomal RNA, 429 nt
Filed under: uncultured Lactobacillus sp.
Lineage: Bacteria; Bacillati; Bacillota; Bacilli; Lactobacillales; Lactobacillaceae
Description: bacterial SSU rRNA
Rfam family: Bacterial small subunit ribosomal RNA
Source: RNAcentral